This is a long non-coding RNA of Mus musculus (house mouse), 355 nucleotides long. RefSeq annotates it as RIKEN cDNA 1700030I03 gene. The record is from RefSeq and is a predicted model, not a curated record. The transcript has 2 exons. NCBI's taxonomy places the organism in Eukaryota, Metazoa, Chordata, Mammalia, Rodentia, Muridae.
UGGGUCCUGAGCUAGUGACCCACCAACGUGAAAGAAAGCAAAUGCUGGUGGCUAUCAGGCUGAGUGAAGAGAGCGAAACUUGGAAUAUUCACUAUGCGCCAGAUGUUUGAGGUGCUAGAAAUCAGCAGCUGUAUAGGCAGAUCCCGUCUUGGAAAGAGCCCUCAAUCUAAUUGACCGAAUCUCUCUGCAGUCCCCAUCCAUUCCUGGAAUGGUUGAAGACUUUAAGACCAGAAUGAGACCUGGGUGAUGAAAGAUACCAUCUGAACUACACCCGUCUUGAGCAGACUGGAAGCCUCUAGCCAAAGUGUCUAUGACUAUGGAAAUGUAGAUGUUUAAGAUCAGUGUGAUGAAGGAA